RNAcentral lists this transfer RNA (69 nucleotides) under Ornithodoros costalis. RNAcentral describes it as "tRNA-Lys". Lineage: Eukaryota; Metazoa; Arthropoda; Arachnida; Ixodida; Argasidae. The record is from RNAcentral.
UCAUUGAAUGGCUGAAAUAAAAGCAUUGGUCUCUUAAACCACUUUAUAGUAUAUGAUACUUUCAAUGAA